This 486-nucleotide ribosomal RNA is filed under the name uncultured Methanosaeta sp. RNAcentral's name for it is "bacterial SSU rRNA". It matches the Rfam family "Archaeal small subunit ribosomal RNA", at positions 852 to 1338 of the family's 1478-position model. Lineage: Archaea; Methanobacteriati; Methanobacteriota; Methanomicrobia; Methanotrichales; Methanotrichaceae. The record is from RNAcentral.
AAACUUAAAGGAAUUGACGGGGAGCACCACAACGGGUGGAGCUUGCGGUUUAACUGGAUUCAACGCCGGAAAUCUUACCGGGACCGACAGCAAUAUGAAGGCCAGGCUGAAGACUUUGCCGGAUUAGCUGAGAGGUGGUGCAUGGCCGUCGUCAGUUCGUACUGUGAAGCAUCCUGUUAAGUCAGGCAACGAGCGAGACCCACGCCCACAGUUGCCAGCGUACUCUCUGGAGUGACGGGUACACUGUGGGGACCGCCGCUGCUAAAGCGGAGGAAGGAAUGGGCAACGGUAGGUCAGUAUGCCCCGAAUAUCCCGGGCUACACGCGAGCUACAAUGGUUGGUACAAUGGGUAUCUACCCCGAAAGGGGACGGGAAUCUCCUAAAACCAAUCUUAGUUCGGAUUGAGGGCUGCAACUCGCCCUCAUGAAGCUGGAAUCCGUAGUAAUCGCGUUUCAACAGAACGCGGUGAAUACGUCCCUGCUCCUU